Molecule: RNase MRP RNA, 515 nt
Filed under: Pseudocercospora musae
Lineage: Eukaryota; Fungi; Ascomycota; Dothideomycetes; Mycosphaerellales; Mycosphaerellaceae
Description: Mycosphaerella musicola RNase MRP
Rfam family: RNase MRP
About the family: RNase MRP is an enzymatically active ribonucleoprotein with two distinct roles in eukaryotes. In mitochondria it plays a direct role in the initiation of mitochondrial DNA replication. In the nucleus it is involved in precursor rRNA processing, where it cleaves the internal transcribed spacer 1 between 18S and 5.8S rRNAs.
Source: Rfam by way of RNAcentral
CUCUCGCUCAAAAAAUCGCAAUCGAAGCUCACACACUGACAGCACCUCGUGUGCUCGUCCACGUACAUACAGCUUUGGGAGAAAGUCCCCGGACACCUUGCACUUGCUGCAAUGCAGCGGAAACGCGCCGCCACAGAAGCAACUUGCGGCUCAUCCCCUCGAGACCUCCAUCCUCCUUCAUCACCCUCCAUCGUCCGCACUCUUGCACGGAAGCGUCAGGGCUGGGAUCGCACCUGUUCUGGAGACACGUCGCUCUCGGGCGGCGGCUCGGCAACGAGAGACGAUGACAUGAGUCUGCUUUCCUGGUCAGCCGGUCUUGCUGCUUUGGCGCUGAAGGGCAGGAGGAGAUGGUGGAUCACUGAUGAGGACGAGUUGGGUUCAAGGUCAAGAGGCGGAGUUCAUCGUCGUGGUCAACAGUUAUGCGAUUGCUCGCGCCUUUCACCUCUCCUCUGAAACUCUUCUUGGUCUGGUGUUGGAUCGCGAGUAACUCGAUGGGGCUUAUUCUUGAUGCGAGA